Caerostris darwini is the source of this 68-nucleotide non-coding RNA. Lineage: Eukaryota; Metazoa; Arthropoda; Arachnida; Araneae; Araneidae. The record is from the annotation of a GenBank genome assembly.
GAAGUCAAGCAUCAUUGGGCGCGGUCAGUACUUGGGUGGGUGACCACCUGGGAACACUGCGUGCCGUU